This 72-nucleotide transfer RNA is filed under the name Candidatus Omnitrophota bacterium. RNAcentral's name for it is "tRNA-Cys". It matches the Rfam family "tRNA". From Rfam's summary of the family: Transfer RNA (tRNA) molecules are approximately 80 nucleotides in length. Their secondary structure includes four short double-helical elements and three loops (D, anti-codon, and T loops). Further hydrogen bonds mediate the characteristic L-shaped molecular structure. tRNAs have two regions of fundamental functional importance: the anti-codon, which is responsible for specific mRNA codon recognition, and the 3' end, to which the tRNAs corresponding amino acid is attached (by aminoacyl-tRNA synthetases). tRNAs cope with the degeneracy of the genetic code in two manners: having more than one tRNA (with a specific anti-codon) for a particular amino acid; and 'wobble' base-pairing, i.e. permitting non-standard base-pairing at the 3rd anti-codon position. Lineage: Bacteria; Pseudomonadati; Candidatus Omnitrophota. The record is from RNAcentral.
GGCACCGUAGCCAAGUGGUAAGGCAGGAGUCUGCAAAACUCUUAUACAGCGGUUCGAACCCGCUCGGUGCCU